This 130-nucleotide ribosomal RNA is filed under the name Lizanozyma spartinae. RNAcentral's name for it is "Scheffersomyces spartinae partial 26S rRNA". The record is from RNAcentral. Lineage: Eukaryota; Fungi; Ascomycota; Pichiomycetes; Serinales; Debaryomycetaceae.
GGCUAGCAUCAGUUUGGAUGGUAGGAUAAUGGCAUUGGAAUGUGACAUUGCUUCGGUNAUGUGUUAUAGCCUUUGUUGAUACUGCCUAUCUAGACUNAGGCUGCGUCUUUGACUAGGAUGCUGGCAUAAU